Oreochromis aureus is the source of this 381-nucleotide long non-coding RNA. The record is from Ensembl. Lineage: Eukaryota; Metazoa; Chordata; Actinopteri; Cichliformes; Cichlidae.
GCUGAGACGCAGCGGAGCGGAGGUGGAGUGCCUGGAUUAAAACAGGACAUAUUAGCAGCAUUUAACCUUCAGUUACUCUUUAUGUAGUUAGAUAGGAGUCAUGUUUCUUUUUAGCUGAAAAACAUUACACCCAGUCCAAAGAGGGAGAGAGGAAAGAGGGGAACAUGAGGAGAAAGUACAAGGUCAGGAAGAACCAGGGGUUUAAAUGCACCAAGGAGACAGUCAGAGGGAACUCGGGACAACUGGAGACAUUUAAGGAUGCAGGGACUGACAGAGACAGGGAAGAAGUCUCAUCGUGACGUGUAAAGUUUAUCUUGCCUGGCUGGGCAGCUCUCUGGGUGCUCAGCACCCCCAAAGCUCUGAUCCUAGAAUCGCCCCUGG